This is an RNA transcript of Mya arenaria, 756 nucleotides long. RefSeq lists it as uncharacterized. The transcript is spliced from 4 exons. The record is from RefSeq and is a predicted model, not a curated record. NCBI's taxonomy places the organism in Eukaryota, Metazoa, Mollusca, Bivalvia, Myida, Myidae.
UCCUCCUUCGUGUGGGAUGCAAACAGAUUUGCUAUUAGAUAGCUUCCUUUCCCCUUUAUAUGGCAUAGCUCAGAGAAAUUGUAUUCAUUAUACCACUUCUAAAUUUCACAAUAGUAUCAUUCUAGUACAGCAGAAUUUAUUCAAAAUGGGCGACGUAAAUUCAGCAAGAAGGUUUUUAAGGUUGUUCCUAUGGAUAUGUAUUGUAAUCUCAUUUCUUCAAACGGUCACCAUGGCAGAGACAAUGUGCGUCCAGACACCGUGCGAAUUGGGAUACUGUUGCGACCAAAGUGGGAACACAACAGCUUUAGUACUGCCCUGUUGUUGUAAAUCACUAUCCGGAGGGCUUUCACAGCAAUGCAUUAGCCAUUCAUCGAGCAGAAUGUUGGGGAUUGGGUGGUUCUCAUUGCCGAUCUGGUUGUCGUCGAUUGUGAUGCUAACAUCAGCCUAGGCAAGUGAGGCUUCGACGGUGCAAUGAUGUUAAGGUUUAGGACAGAGCCUAGACAUAGAAUGACUUACGUUUCCAACUGUGCGUGAACUUGUAUUUAUGGAAUUGAAGAACUGUUUUAACUUAGAAAAUAUAUACUUUGAAUAUUUUUUGGAGGACUACAUUUGCAAAAUCUCUAAACAUGUAUAUGUCUAACCAAAUGAAAGAAAAUGAUUACUCGAUUCAUAAUUCUGACCAUGAUAUAAGAAAUUUUGAAUAUGCAGUGUAUUAUUAGAAAUUGUAGCAUUGUCAUUUAAAAUAAAUAUUGAAGC